Molecule: long non-coding RNA, 518 nt
Filed under: Anas platyrhynchos platyrhynchos (common mallard)
Lineage: Eukaryota; Metazoa; Chordata; Aves; Anseriformes; Anatidae
Description: lncRNA (ENSAPLG00000025545.1)
Source: RNAcentral
AUGUGUGCUUUUGUAGUGCAGGGUUAUUUCAGGCAGAACAAGACAUCUCCUCUGGAGGAUGGCAUUUGUGGCUGUCAUUCGAGAAGACUGCUGGCAGAGAUGGGGCACGUAACUGCAUAAACCACUAGCCUGAUCUUCUGGGCAGAUGCUUCCUUCUAAGAUGGUUUGGAGAUAUGAUUUACCACUCCUUUGAGACAAGUGUCUUUCAGCCCAACAGAGGUGCAAAGUCUCUGCAGGAUGGGUUGCUUUACUUAGAAAAUCUUCUGGGAGACAGAGACGAGAAUUAUUUUUUGUGGUAUCCAAACUGGUAUGACUUGUACUUUAAUCAUAAGAAAACAAACCAGUGCAGACGGACAGGAAACCUAUGGCUGAAACUGAAAUGCUGCUGACUGGGCAGGCUCCCAGAUCCCCCAGGUAUGAGUCCUCUCCUACUUUGCUCAGCAUGAGCCCAGGGCAUAGCUGUGAGCUGUACUGCUUCAUACAGACUCAGACCCAACAGAGGAAUCAUCAAGCAAAAG